RNAcentral lists this ribosomal RNA (496 nucleotides) under uncultured bacterium. Its description in RNAcentral is "partial 16S ribosomal RNA". It matches the Rfam family "Bacterial small subunit ribosomal RNA", at positions 29 to 507 of the family's 1533-position model. The record is from RNAcentral.
AUGAACGCUGGCGGCGUGCCUAAUCCAUGCAAGUCGAGCGAACGGACGAGAAGCUUGCUUCUCUGAUGCUAGCGGCGGACGGGUGAGUAACACGUGGAUAACCUACCUAUAAGACUGGGAUAACUUCGGGAAACCGGAGCUAAUACCGGAUGAUAUUUUGAACCGCAUGGUUCAAAAGUGAAAGACGGUCUUGCUGUCACUUAUAGAUGGAUCCGCGCUGCAUUAGCUAGUUGGUAAGGUAACGGCUUACCAAGGCAACGAUGCAUAGCCGACCUGAGAGGGUGAUCGGCCACACUGGAACUGAGACACGGUCCAGACUCCUACGGGAGGCAGCAGUAGGGAAUCUUCCGCAAUGGGCGAAAGCCUGACGGAGCAACGCCGCGUGAGUGAUGAAGGUCUUCGGAUCGUAAAACUCUGUUAUUAGGGAAGAACAUAUGUGUAAGUAACUGUGCACAUCUUGACGGUACCUAAUCAGAAAGCCACGGCUAACUACGUG